GGGCGAAUGGUUUAGUGGUAUAAUUUUCCCUUAGCACUUUCCGGGUCGCUUGGGAAAGGUCCAGGGUUCGAUUCCCUGUUCGUCCA
Molecule: non-coding RNA, 86 nt
Organism: Hirsutella rhossiliensis
Lineage: Eukaryota; Fungi; Ascomycota; Sordariomycetes; Hypocreales; Ophiocordycipitaceae
Source: the annotation of a RefSeq genome assembly